UAUCAGUCAUGCAUAGCAUAUCAAUAAGCGGAGGAAAAGAAACUAACAAGGAUUCCCUUAGUAACGGCGAGUGAAGCGGGAAGAGCUCAAAUUUGAAAUCUUCAAGGUUUUACCUUGACGAAUUGUAGUUUAAAGAAGUGUUUUCUGUUGAAGUUUUGGUAAAAGUUCUUUGGAAUAGGACAUCAUAGAGGGUGAGAAUCCCGUAUUUGACCAUUACUUUCAGCUUUGUGAUACACUUUCAAAGAGUCGGAUUGUUUGGGAAUGCAGUCCAAAAUGGGUGGUAAAUUUCAUCUAAAGCUAAAUAUUGGCGAGAGACCGAUAGCGAACAAGUACCGUGAGGGAAAGAUGAAAAGAACUUUGAAAAGAGAGUUAAACAGUACGUGAAAUUGUCAAAAGGGAAGCGUUUGACACCAGUGUUGUUUUCUCGAAAAUCAAUUAAAAAGAGUUGGAUUUUGUGUUGUAUCGACUUUAUCAGCUUUCUUCACUCUUUUCCAGCUUUUUUUAAUGCACUUUUCGUUUAACAAGUCAACAUCAGUUUCUUUUGUUGUAAAAAGGUCAUUGGAAGGUGGCUUUCUCUUCGGAGAAAGUGUUUAUAGCCUUUGACUCAUGCAAUCGGAGAGACUGAGGUCUGCAGCGUAGAUCCUUCGGGGUUAGAUACAUUUGUGCUAAGUUAUAGCUUUUCAUAGACAACUUGUUGACUAUGUUUAGUCUUGUAGCUUACUCGCUUAUGCUAUUUUACCUACGCUUAGGAUGUUGAACUCUAUCACACACAG
RNAcentral lists this ribosomal RNA (773 nucleotides) under uncultured Neocallimastigales. RNAcentral's name for it is "partial large subunit ribosomal RNA". It matches the Rfam family "Eukaryotic large subunit ribosomal RNA", at positions 22 to 621 of the family's 3401-position model. The record is from RNAcentral. Lineage: Eukaryota; Fungi; Neocallimastigomycota; Neocallimastigomycetes; Neocallimastigales.